AUGAAUUUUUAAUAGCCGCAGUAUCUUAACUGUGCAAAGGUAGCAUAAUCAUUAGUUUUUUAAUUGAAAGCUAGAAUGAACGGUCGAAUGAGAAAAUUUCUGUCUCUAUAAAAAUUUUAUAGAAUUUUAUUUUUAAGUUAAAAAGCUUAAAUAGGGGUAAAAGACGAGAAGACCCUAUAGAGUUUAAUAUUUAUUAAUUAUUUUUUUUUUUAGUAUUUUAAGAUUAAUAAUUUUAUGGUAUUUAAUUGGGGUGAUUGGAAAAUUAAUUAAACUUUUCUUAUAAAUAGACAUUUAUUUAUGAAAUUAUGAUCCUUUAAUAAAGAUUAUAAGAUAAAAUUACCUUAGGGAUAACAGCGUAAUUUUUUUUAAGAGUUCUUAUCGAAAAAAAAGAUUGCGACCUCGAUGUUGGACUAAAAUAAAUUUUUGGUGUAGAAGCUAAAUUUAAUUGGGUCUGUUCGACCCUUAAUAUUUUACA
Molecule: ribosomal RNA, 475 nt
Filed under: Nedyus quadrimaculatus
Lineage: Eukaryota; Metazoa; Arthropoda; Insecta; Coleoptera; Curculionidae
Description: partial 16S ribosomal RNA
Rfam family: Bacterial large subunit ribosomal RNA
Source: RNAcentral